GUGGGGAAUUUUGGACAAUGGGCGCAAGCCUGAUCCAGCAAUGCCGCGUGCAGGAAGAAGGCCUUCGGGUUGUAAACUGCUUUUGUACGGAACGAAACGGUCCUGGUUAAUACCUGGGGCUAAUGACGGUACCGUAAGAAUAAGCACCGGCUAACUACGUGCCAGCAGCCGCGGUAAUACGUAGGGUGCGAGCGUUAAUCGGAAUUACUGGGCGUAAAGCGUGCGCAGGCGGUGCUGUAAGACAGGCGUGAAAUCCCCGGGCUCAACCUGGGAAUUGCGCUUGUGACUGCAGUGCUGGAGUACGGCAGAGGGGGAUGGAAUUCCGCGUGUAGCAGUGAAAUGCGUAGAUAUGCGGAGGAACACCGAUGGCGAAGGCAGUCCCCUGGGCCUGUACUGACGCUCAUGUACGAAAGCGUGGGGAGCAAACAGGAUUAGAUACCCCGGUAGUCC
RNAcentral lists this ribosomal RNA (450 nucleotides) under uncultured bacterium. RNAcentral's name for it is "partial 16S ribosomal RNA". It matches the Rfam family "Bacterial small subunit ribosomal RNA", at positions 354 to 796 of the family's 1533-position model. The record is from RNAcentral.